AAAAACAUCACCUCUAGCAUUACUAGUAUUAGAGGCACUGCCUGCCCAGUGACAACCGUUAAACGGCCGCGGUAUCCUGACCGUGCAAAGGUAGCAUAAUCACUUGUUCUCUAAAUAAGGACUUGUAUGAAUGGCCACACGAGGGUUUUACUGUCUCUUACUUCUAAUCAGUGAAAUUGACCUUCCCGUGAAGAGGCGGGAAUAUAUUAAUAAGACGAGAAGACCCUAUGGAGCUUUAACUACUUAACCCAAAGAAACAAAAUUUAUUUCUAAGGAAACAAUAAUAUUCUUUAUGGGUUAACAGCUUUGGUUGGGGUGACCUCGGAGAAUAAAAAAUCCUCCGAGCGAUUUUAAAGACUAGACCCACAAGUCAAAUCGCACAAUCGCUUAUUGAUCCAAAAAAUUGAUCAACGGAACAAGUUACCCUAGGGAUAACAGCGCAAUCCUAUUCAAGAGUCCAUAUCGACAAUAGGGUUUACGACCUCGAUGUUGGAUCAGGACAUCCUGAUGGUGCAACCGCUAUCAAAGGUUCGUUUGUUCAACGAUUAAAGUCCUACGUGAUCUGAGU
Molecule: ribosomal RNA, 568 nt
Filed under: Muntiacus muntjak (muntjak)
Lineage: Eukaryota; Metazoa; Chordata; Mammalia; Artiodactyla; Cervidae
Description: partial large subunit ribosomal RNA
Rfam family: Bacterial large subunit ribosomal RNA
Source: RNAcentral